Molecule: ribosomal RNA, 244 nt
Filed under: uncultured Staphylococcus sp.
Lineage: Bacteria; Bacillati; Bacillota; Bacilli; Caryophanales; Staphylococcaceae
Description: partial 16S ribosomal RNA
Rfam family: Bacterial small subunit ribosomal RNA
Source: RNAcentral
CGGCGGACGGGUGAGUAACACGUGGAUAACCUACCUAUAAGACUGGGAUAACUUCGGGAAACCGGAGCUAAUACCGGAUAAUAUUUUGAACCGCAUGGUUCAAAAGUAAAAGACGGUCUUGCUGUCACUUAUAGAUGGAUCCACGCUGCAUUAGCUAGUUGGUAAGGUAACGGCUUACCAAGGCAACGAUGCAUAGCCGACCUGAGAGGGUGAUCGGCCACACUGGAACUGAGACACGGUCCAG